This 660-nucleotide ribosomal RNA is filed under the name Streptomyces sp. Sp080513SC-20. RNAcentral describes it as "bacterial SSU rRNA". It matches the Rfam family "Bacterial small subunit ribosomal RNA", at positions 53 to 729 of the family's 1533-position model. Lineage: Bacteria; Bacillati; Actinomycetota; Actinomycetes; Kitasatosporales; Streptomycetaceae. The record is from RNAcentral.
ACAUGCAAGUCGAACGAUGAACCACUUCGGUGGGGAUUAGUGGCGAACGGGUGAGUAACACGUGGGCAAUCUGCCCUGCACUCUGGGACAAGCCCUGGAAACGGGGUCUAAUACCGGAUACUGACCCGCUUGGGCAUCCAAGCGGUUCGAAAGCUCCGGCGGUGCAGGAUGAGCCCGCGGCCUAUCAGCUUGUUGGUGAGGUAAUGGCUCACCAAGGCGACGACGGGUAGCCGGCCUGAGAGGGCGACCGGCCACACUGGGACUGAGACACGGCCCAGACUCCUACGGGAGGCAGCAGUGGGGAAUAUUGCACAAUGGGCGAAAGCCUGAUGCAGCGACGCCGCGUGAGGGAUGACGGCCUUCGGGUUGUAAACCUCUUUCAGCAGGGAAGAAGCGAAAGUGACGGUACCUGCAGAAGAAGCGCCGGCUAACUACGUGCCAGCAGCCGCGGUAAUACGUAGGGCGCGAGCGUUGUCCGGAAUUAUUGGGCGUAAAGAGCUCGUAGGCGGCUUGUCACGUCGGUUGUGAAAGCCCGGGGCUUAACCCCGGGUCUGCAGUCGAUACGGGCAGGCUAGAGUUCGGUAGGGGAGAUCGGAAUUCCUGGUGUAGCGGUGAAAUGCGCAGAUAUCAGGAGGAACACCGGUGGCGAAGGCGGAUCUC